CCAUGUGAACAUACCUGUUGCCUCGGCGGGCCUACCCUAUAGCUACCCUGUAGUUACCGGGGAGUGACCGCCGAAGGACUACCAAACUCUUUUAUCUCUGUAUCUCUGAGUAAAAAAACAAAUAAGUUAAAACUUUCAACAACGGAUCUCUUGGUUCUGGCAUCGAUGAAGAACGCAGCGAAAUGCGAUAAGUAAUGUGAAUUGCAGAAUUCAGUGAAUCAUCGAAUCUUUGAACGCACAUUGCGCCCAUUAGUAUUCUAGUGGGCAUGCCUGUUCGAGCGUCAUUUAGUCCACUUAAGCCUUUGCUUAGUAUUGGGAAUCUACUUUUACUCUGUAGUUGUAGUUCCUCAAAGACAGCGGCGGAGUCGUGGUUUUACUCUGAGCUUAGUAAUUUUUUUCUAGCUUUCGAGUUGCCAUUGCCCCCUUGCCGUAAAACACCCUUUAUUUUUUAAUGGUUGACCUCGGAUCAGGUAGGAAUACCCGCUGAACUUAAGCAUAUCAAUAAGGC
RNAcentral lists this ribosomal RNA (508 nucleotides) under uncultured Phyllachoraceae. RNAcentral describes it as "eukaryotic LSU rRNA". The stretch from base 131 to 284 matches the Rfam family "5.8S ribosomal RNA". The record is from RNAcentral. Lineage: Eukaryota; Fungi; Ascomycota; Sordariomycetes; Phyllachorales; Phyllachoraceae.